This 403-nucleotide unclassified non-coding RNA is filed under the name soil metagenome. Its description in RNAcentral is "partial contains 5.8S ribosomal RNA, internal transcribed spacer 2, and large subunit ribosomal RNA". The stretch from base 2 to 120 matches the Rfam family "5.8S ribosomal RNA", at positions 37 to 154 of the family's 154-position model. The record is from RNAcentral.
GUGAAGAACGCAGCGAAAUGCGAUAAGUAAUGUGAAUUGCAGAAUUCAGUGAAUCAUCGAAUCUUUGAACGCACCUUGCGCCCUUUGGCUAUUCCGAAGGGCAUGCCUGUUUGAGUAUCAUGAACACCUCAACUCUCAUGGUUUGCCAUGAUGAGCUUGGACUUUGGGGGUCUUGCCGGCCUAUGGGUCGGCUCCUCUCAAAUUAAUCAGCUUGCCAGUGUUUGGUGGCAUCACAGGUGUGAUAACUAUCUACGCUUGUGGUUUUCCAUCAGGUAACCUUCAGUGAUGGAGGUUCGCUGGGGCUCAUAAAUGUCUCUCCUCAGUGAGGACAGCUUUUUUGAACGUUUGAUCUCAAAUCAGGUAGGACUACCCGCUGAACUUAAGCAUAUCAAUAAGCGGAGGA